UGGGGAAUAUUGGACAAUGGGCGAAAGCCUGAUCCAGCCAUGCCGCGUGUGUGAAGAAGGUCUUCGGAUUGUAAAGCACUUUAAGUUGGGAGGAAGGGCAGUAAGCGAAUACCUUGCUGUUUUGACGUUACCGACAGAAUAAGCACCGGCUAACGCUGUGCCAGCAGCCGCGGUAAUACUGAGGGUGCAAGCGUUAAUCGGAAUUACUGGGCGUAAAGCGCGCGUAGGUGGUUCGUUAAGUUGAAUGUGAAAGCCCCGGGCUCAACCUGGGAACUGCAUCCAAAACUGGCGGGCUAGAGUAGGGCAGAGGGUGGUGGAAUUUCCUGUGUAGCGGUGAAAUGCGUAGAUAUAGGAAGGAACACCAGUGGCGAAGGCGACCACCUGGGCUCAUACUGACACUGAGGUGCGAAAGCGUGGGGAGCAAACAGG
Molecule: ribosomal RNA, 429 nt
Filed under: Pseudomonadota bacterium
Lineage: Bacteria; Pseudomonadati; Pseudomonadota
Description: Proteobacteria bacterium partial 16S ribosomal RNA
Rfam family: Bacterial small subunit ribosomal RNA
Source: RNAcentral